This 497-nucleotide ribosomal RNA is filed under the name uncultured bacterium. RNAcentral describes it as "partial 16S ribosomal RNA". It matches the Rfam family "Bacterial small subunit ribosomal RNA", at positions 30 to 507 of the family's 1533-position model. The record is from RNAcentral.
AUUGAACGCUGGCGGCAUGCCUAACACAUGCAAGUCGAGCGGACGGAGGAAAAGCGUUCUUGUCUUAUGUUGGCGGCGGGCGGGUGAGUACCACGUGUCUGCCCUACCGUGGGGACUGGGGUCACUUCGGGGACCCGUAUCUCAUACCGGAUACUAUUUUGAACGGGGUGGUUCAACAGUGCACGCGGGUCUUGCUGUCACUUGUAGAUGGAUCCGCGCUGGAGUAGCUAGUUGGUAAGGUAACGGCUUACCAAGGCAACGAUGCGUAGCCGGUCUGAGAGGAUGAUCAGCCACACUGGAACUGAGACACGGUCCAGACUCCUACGGGAGGCAGCAGUAGGGAAUCUUGGGCAAUGGGCGAAAGCCUGACGGAGCAAUGCCGCGUGAGUGAUGAAGGUCUUCGGAUUGUAAAACUCUGUUAUUAGGGAAGAACAGAUGUGUAAGAAAAUGUGGAUGUCUUGACGGUACCUAAAGAAUAAGCACCGGCUAACUACGUG